AACGAACGCUGGCGGCGUGGAUAAGACAUGCAAGUCGAACGAGAUUACUUCUGGUAGCAAUACCGGGAGGAAUUUAGUGGCGAACGGGUGCGUAACACGUGGGCAAUCUGCCUUAAAGUGGGGGAUAGCUCGGCGAAAGCCGAAUUAAUACCGCAUAUGAUCAGCCAGGACAUCCUGGCGAAAUCAAAGAUGGCGCAAGCUAUCGCUUUUAGAGGAGCCCGCGGCCUAUCAGCUAGUUGGUGGGGUAACGGCCCACCAAGGCGACGACGGGUAGCUGGUCUGAGAGGAUGGCCAGCCACAUUGGGACUGAGACACGGCCCAGACUCCUACGGGAGGCAGCAGUGGGGAAUAUUGCGCAAUGGGCGAAAGCCUGACGCAGCGACGCCGCGUGUGGGAUGACGGUCUUCGGAUUGUAAACCACUGUCGGGAGGGACGAAUACGCCGCAAGGGCGGGUGACGGUACCUCCAAAGGAAGCACCGGCUAACUCCGU
Molecule: ribosomal RNA, 491 nt
Filed under: uncultured bacterium
Lineage: Bacteria
Description: bacterial SSU rRNA
Rfam family: Bacterial small subunit ribosomal RNA
Source: RNAcentral